GAUGAGAACGUAGCGAAAUGCGAAAAGUAAUGUGAAUUGCAGAAUUCAGUGAAUCAUCGAAUCUUUGAACGCACAUUGCGCCCGCUGGUACUCCGGCGGGCACGCCUGUCCGAGCGUCAUUUCAACCCUCAAGCCCUCCUUCGGGAUGGGCCUGGUGUUGGGGCUCGGCCGCCAUCUCCGGCGGCCGUCCCCUAAAUACAGUGGCGGUCACGUCGCGACUCCUUUGCGUAGUAGAAACACCUCGCUCCGGAUAGCAACGCGGUCCACGCCGUAAAACCCCCAAUUUUCAAUGGUUGACCUCGGAUCAGGUGGGAAUACCCGCUGAACUUAAGCAUAUCAAUAAGCGGAGGA
Molecule: unclassified non-coding RNA, 351 nt
Filed under: soil metagenome
Description: partial contains 5.8S ribosomal RNA, internal transcribed spacer 2, and large subunit ribosomal RNA
Rfam family: 5.8S ribosomal RNA (bases 5-119)
Source: RNAcentral